This is a long non-coding RNA of Elaeis guineensis (African oil palm), 1325 nucleotides long. RefSeq lists it as uncharacterized. NCBI's taxonomy places the organism in Eukaryota, Viridiplantae, Streptophyta, Magnoliopsida, Arecales, Arecaceae. The record is from RefSeq and is a predicted model, not a curated record.
CCGUUCUCUUGGCUACUUGGUUGGAUCCUGCAUUUGGCACUGUAGAGGAUUGUACGGCCCUAAGUGGUACCCCAUCAUCCAUCUAGGAUAAACAUGGCCGAGGAUAGAAAGGGAUGCAUUGGAUGCCAGACAUGACACGUCAUGGCAGUCAGCCCUCUGCGAUAUCAAGCACAUGGCAGAGUAUCCUGACUCUCUUGGCAGCCAAGUGAUGAACCACCGUUGACCGGUGAGCUUGGUCAUCGCGCGGCACGCGUGUGAUGCGCGCCGGGACCCUCGUGGAUCGCACUCGUCCCAGGCAAAUUGCUUCCAAACAAUGAGUAUGUAAGGCGAUUACGGAUCACGGGUAUUUACGUAACAAAACAAAAAAAAAUCACGGGUAUUUUAGUUGGGUUGGAUCGGUCUCAAGCGUCUGCAUGAUUCAUAGGCGUCGUUCGAAGCUUGACCGGUAGUUUUGAGACCCAGACGGACCCCAAACCGGAGUCCGAUUCUUAUCUACAUUGGAUUCGGGUAUCAAAUAUUGUAUGCUGAAUCUCUCUAGUUACUAGCCCAGAGUCUUCUCCGUACGAACAUAGUGAAUCCGGCUACAUCUCGUGUACUGUCCCCUCAUGCCUUCUUCGAACAGCUUGGUGGUAGGUCCGUUUUCAGCAUCUCGGGGCCUUCAGGGUUGGUUUCCAGGUGCCACCCAAGACACACCACCUGUUUGUCUAUAUGCUUCUAAGGCUGAUAAUAUGUCUCUGUGCCAGCACAGGACCACCAGGCCAGGCGGACUUUGUUCCGGGCCGGGCUGAAUGGGCCAGGGGCCCAAGAUUUUCCCUCCAAAACAGAACUCUGAUGUUGGUUCUCAAUAGACCUGUGUUGCUUUCUAUUCCCAUAUGCUAAAUAAAGGCACAUUGUGGCAAUAUGAAGUUCAGCUGCACAAAUAUUAGAUGCCUGCGAUUGCUAAUCAGCAUUUGUAGAUCUUGGCACAGGCAUUGCACGUGAAAACAUAUAGACGGUUGUGAUCAAUGUCUGCACUUUAGUUGGGGAAGUAUUUCAUCAAAUGUUGCUCCUUGAAGCUUUAGGCUUUUCAUCCAUUAAUCUUUCAUCUAUACUUACUUUCAUCUACUUUGUUUGAGUUGUAAGAUUACCACUGAUAUGGAUUCUCUCUUAUAUGAUCAGAGGAACCAUCUCCUCAGCUGAUGAAGCUUCCCUUCUUUUCUCCAUCAUCAAGGACUAAGAAGACUGGCUCUGCCAGCAUGUUUGAUAAGUAAAAAUGUAAAAUAGAUAUCCAGUGUUAAAAGUACCUUGUUCUUUUGUACAAGUCUCAAAUGUGCCUGCUUAUUCUA